AUGAGGGCACAAGCUGUCGUGCUCGCCUACUCGCUGUUGGCGUCCGCGCUGCUGUGCCGGAGAGCCGCGGCCUCGCCGGCGUUCAUCGUCGGGAAGCUCGUCAUGGGCGGGCUGGAGUUACGCCGUCCCGUGAUGGACACCAUGACGGCGAAUCAGUCAACACCACUGCAACUUUCGACGGCGGCGAGCGAUGGAAAUGUGGACGGACUCCAUCCGAACUGGUUGUCUUUGCUCCCGGAAAUAACCUCACCGCUGGACCGGAACCAUCCCUUUGGCGAACAAGGGAUCGUGCUCGAUCACUUGCUCGUGUUUUUGGUGCUCUUUGUUGUGUACAUCUUCCGCUGA
This 345-nucleotide ribosomal RNA is filed under the name Triticum aestivum (bread wheat). RNAcentral's name for it is "partial small subunit ribosomal RNA". The record is from RNAcentral. Lineage: Eukaryota; Viridiplantae; Streptophyta; Magnoliopsida; Poales; Poaceae.